This is a non-coding RNA of Caenorhabditis elegans, 146 nucleotides long. Lineage: Eukaryota; Metazoa; Nematoda; Chromadorea; Rhabditida; Rhabditidae. The record is from Ensembl.
AAAGAGAAUUUGGAAGAAAACGCAAGAAAAAUGAGAGAAAAAGACAGCAAAGUUUGAGGUGGGUGAAUGUGACACUUGGAACGGCGGGAGUGCGAUGGCGGGACCCGAAAAGCAAACAGGGAAGGGCGGCUUCCCUAUACAAAAGC